Molecule: unclassified non-coding RNA, 140 nt
Filed under: uncultured Helotiales
Lineage: Eukaryota; Fungi; Ascomycota; Leotiomycetes; Helotiales
Description: sequence contains ITS2
Source: RNAcentral
CAACCCUCAAGCCUAGCUUGGUAUUGGGCCUCGCCGUUUUGGCGGGCCUUAAAAUCAGUAACAGUGUCGUUGAGGCCCUGAGCGUAGUACAUAUCCUCGCUAUAGGGACUUCCACGGCCAUUAACCCUCACUUUCUAAGU